RNAcentral lists this transfer RNA (66 nucleotides) under Vicugna pacos (alpaca). RNAcentral describes it as "tRNA-Und (NNN) (tRNA-Und-NNN-72-1)". It matches the Rfam family "tRNA". From Rfam's summary of the family: Transfer RNA (tRNA) molecules are approximately 80 nucleotides in length. Their secondary structure includes four short double-helical elements and three loops (D, anti-codon, and T loops). Lineage: Eukaryota; Metazoa; Chordata; Mammalia; Artiodactyla; Camelidae. The record is from Rfam by way of RNAcentral.
GAGGGUACAGCUCAGUGGUAGAGCACAUGCUGCAUGAGGUCCUGGGUUCAAUCCCCAGUACCUUCA